RNAcentral lists this transfer RNA (73 nucleotides) under Felis catus (domestic cat). It matches the Rfam family "tRNA". Rfam says of the family: Transfer RNA (tRNA) molecules are approximately 80 nucleotides in length. Their secondary structure includes four short double-helical elements and three loops (D, anti-codon, and T loops). The record is from Rfam by way of RNAcentral. Lineage: Eukaryota; Metazoa; Chordata; Mammalia; Carnivora; Felidae.
ACCUGGCUGGCUCAGUUGGUAGAGCACAUGACUCUUGAUCUCAGGGUCGUGAGUUUGAGCCCCAUGUUGGGUG